Molecule: long non-coding RNA, 3210 nt
Filed under: Sus scrofa (pig)
Lineage: Eukaryota; Metazoa; Chordata; Mammalia; Artiodactyla; Suidae
Description: lncRNA (ENSSSCG00005036236.1)
Source: RNAcentral
AAAAAAAAAAAAAAAAAAAAAAGAAAAGAAAAAGAAAGAAAAGAAAAAUCUUCCCCUCUUGUUUGUGCAAACAUUUACCUUGUCCUAUGGGGUGGAGCGUACAGCUGUGUGGUGCCCCCAAGCACAUGCUGACAUGACUAGUGGCCCUGGUCAGGGUGCUGCCUGUGUGUCUCUGUGUGUAUGUGUGUUAGGACAGCCGACAUGGAGCACCUACAACAUGGGGCUCAUAGGCUGGGCUACCUAAAAUCCUGUGACCCCAGGUUCAUGUUUCUUAAGACAGUGCUGUUCAGUAAGUUGUAUUACUGCAUCACGCUCCUCCCUCAGCCACACUUCACUUUACUUUUUGUUUGAAGUGUCGUACUGUGAAGUGUCGUCUGUGAAAAGAUGAAUGGGAGUUCUGCCAUGGCGCAGUGGAAACAAAUACAACUAGGAACCAUGAGGUUUCGGGUUCCAUCCCUGGAUCCUUAACUCACUGAGCGAGGCCAGGAAUCAAACCCAUAACCUCAUGGUUCCUAGUCAGAUUUGUUUCCGCUGGGCCAUGACAGGAACUCCAGAAGGUCCUUCCUCUUGAAAGCUGAGUGACAUUCCAUUGUGUGGACAGAACACGUUGUGUUACUGGGCUUGGAUUUUACUUAGAUCUGGUACACAGUCUUUUGUAUCGGCUUCUUUCUCCACUGCUCUGCCUGCUGGAUCCAUCCCUGUCGUUGCACAUGUCGGCAGCUUGUCCUAUGUUGUCAUAUGGUCCCCAUUGUGUGCCUGGACCAUCUGUGCAAACUCAUUCUCCCGUGGGUGGCCAUCAGGGUUGCAUCCACAGAGCGGGCUCAUCAUCAUCAUCAUCACUGUGAGAGAAGGUGUUCUGAGCUCCCAGGUGACCCAAACUCAGCCCAGGGUCACAAACACUGAGGAGAGGCCUGGGGGAGGCAUGCGGUUGUGGGGGGCCCUGGCUGGGAUAGUGCAGCAGCUGAGGUCCAGAGGUGGGAGGUCCGGCAGCAGUGCAGGGGUGGGGGGCAGUGGGGAUGCUUUGUCCUUUCCUGCAAGCAGCGUCUUCCAUGGCCCACAGCACGCACACACACACUUGACCUGUCUUUGUUUCCCUGAUCAGCCUGAGCUCACUCCCUGGGGAAGGUGUGCAGUGUGGGGGGCCUCUUCCCUGCUUCUCUCGCAUCGGAUGAUCCCAGGACAGACUCCUGCCCCACCCCUCUGAGCUCCACUCACUUUCAUUCCCAUGUGGGUCAUCUGCCCACACUCCCUCCCCCCUCGACGCUGCCACCUCCCCAGAGCGCAUACACAGCAGGCACCUAGUUAAUCUGACUCCAAAUAGAUUAGUAGAAAGGGUAGGGUCUGUGAGGAAGGGAGGCCCAAGGUGUGACUGGGCUCCUGCCACCCUGGGAUCCUGAUGGAUCAGAGAAGGGCCUCCCAGGGCAGAUGGGAGCCUGCGGCUGUUUUUUUGUUUGUUUGUUUUUUGGUUUUUGUCUUUUUAGCCUCUCGGCAUAUGGAGGUUCCCAGACUAGGGGUCAAAUCAGAGCUACAGCUGCUGGCCUACACCACAGCCACAGCAACAAGGGAUCUGAGCCACAUCUGCAACCUACACCAAAGCUCACGGCAACGCCGGAUCCUUAACCCGCCAAGUGAGGCCAGGGAGCGAACCUGCAUCUUCAUAGAUACUAGUUAGAUUUGUUUCUGCUGAGCCACAACAGGAACGCCUGGGGCUGUUUGUUUUUUUGUUUUGUUUCGUUUAUGUUUUUGUUUUUUUCCAUAAAGUACAUACAACUUAAACUUUACCAUUUCCCCCCUUUUAUUUUUCUAUUUUUUAUUUAUUUAUUUUUUUGGCCUCGCUUGUGGCAUGUGCAAGUUCCCAGGCCAGGAAUCAGACCCUUGCCACAGCAGUGAUAAUGCUGGAUCCUUCACUGCUAGGCCACUAGAGAACCUCCACCAUUUUCCCCUGUUUAUAGUGUACAGUUCAGUGGCAGUUAGUAUGAUCGUAGUGUUGUGCAACUCCUACUUCAAAACGAACAUUAUCAUCAUCCUGAAGGGAAACCUCCCCCUCCUCCAGCAUCUAGCAACCACUAAUCUAUUUUCUAUCUCUAUGGAUCUGCCUGUUAUGGACCUUUCAUCUUACAUGGGAUUGUACAACAUGUGACCUUUUGUGUCUGAUGUCUUUCACCUGGCAUAAGGUUUUCAAGAUUUAUCCACAGGGUAGCACGUGUCAGUGCUUCAUCCCUUUUUAUGGCUGAAUAAUAAUCCACUUCAUAGCUGGACCACAUUUUAUUUAUCCACUCACCUGUUGAUGGAUGUUUGGGUUGUUUCUGUCUUGUGGCAACUGCAACUAGUGCUGUUCUAAACACGGUGUGCAAGGAUUUGUUUGAACAUCUGUUCUCAGUUCUUUUGGGGAUGGCCUGGCAGUGGAAUUGCUGGGUCACAUGGUAACUCUGUGUUCAGCUAGUUGAGGACCCUACAGAGUGAUUUCUGUAGCGACAGCCCUAACUGGUAUUCCUGGUAUAUGAGGGCUCCAGGUUCUAUGGGCAAGUUCAGGCAGACCUUGGCAGGAUGAAGUUGGGAGAACAUGGUUCUUCAUUCGGCUCACUCACCCCAACUGGGUAUCAGCGAGCCCAGGCCCUGGGAGCUGGGCCAUCUCCCUGAGGGCGCUCCCCUAGUGAAAGGACAGAGCCAGCCUUGAACUCAUGACUCUGCCUUCCAGGUUACACAAGGAGAUACUUCCCUGACAGGUGACAGGAGAGGCCAGAGUGUGGCUUUCUACCACUGGACCCAUAAGGAACCACAGGAAUAGCCAUUAGGACCAGCCUGGUAGGUAAGGGUGGGCAACGAGGCAGAGCAUGGGGGGAGUGGGUGAGAAGAAACAGCACCUCUGAAAAGGACUGAUGCCAGGUCAUGUCCAGUGUGAAUCCACUGGGUGUGUCUUUAAUUAAACUUUAAUUAAAAUUAGCUAUGCUGGGAGUUCCCAUCGUGGCUCAGAAUCUGACUAGGAACCAUGAGAUUGCGGGUUUGAUCCCUGGCCUUGCUCAGUGGGCUAAGGAUCUGGCGUUGCCGUGAGCUGUGGUGUAGGUUGCAGACACGGCUCGGAUCCCGAGUUGCUGUGGCUCUGGUGUAGGCCGGUGGCUACAGCUCCAAUUCGAUCCCUAGCCUGGGAACCUCCAUAUGCCACAGGAGCGGCCCAAGAAAUGGUAAAAAGACAAAAAAAAAAAAAAAAAA